RNAcentral lists this ribosomal RNA (528 nucleotides) under Triticum aestivum (bread wheat). RNAcentral's name for it is "partial small subunit ribosomal RNA". The record is from RNAcentral. Lineage: Eukaryota; Viridiplantae; Streptophyta; Magnoliopsida; Poales; Poaceae.
AUGGCGAGGCAUAUCCAAGCCGAUCACGAGUCCGCAGAUGACAGUGGUGGUGCUGCUGGUGCCGCGCUCGUGCUGUGGGACUGCGGCAGCGCGCUCUACGACUCGUACGAGCUCACCGCCUUCAAGCGCCAGCUCGACGCCGCCGUGCUCGCCGGCCGCUCGCUCUCAAUGCCGCACCUCCCCGCCGCCAGCCCGGCCGUUCAGCCAGCCGGCCGCAGGAAGCGCGCGAGGCGGCUCCCCGCCCUGCUCCGGAGGCUCUUCUCCAAGGUGCUGCGGCUGGCGUCGGCGCGCGGGGCGAGACACGACCGCUACCGGGCGUACGAGGGGUACGGCCACGGCGGCUACAGCGGCACGGGGUCGCCGUGGUCCGGGGCGCUGACGUCCAUCCCGGAGGAGAGCGGCGGCAGCCCGGAGGCGGGGUCGUCCCCGGUCGUCCCCGGCCCGAGCGCGCUGCGCAGGGCGCAGUCGGAGCGGUUCAUCGGCAGCAAGACGGCGACCCCGAUGGUGCAAUUCGAUGUCGUCUUGUAG